This 273-nucleotide unclassified non-coding RNA is filed under the name uncultured fungus. RNAcentral describes it as "partial contains 18S rRNA, ITS1, 5.8S rRNA, ITS2 and 28S rRNA". The record is from RNAcentral. Lineage: Eukaryota; Fungi.
AAGGAUCAUUAAAAAAUUAUUAGUUGUCCUUAGUGACCAACUCAUUGUGCAAUGUUACAUUUUGUUCUUGGCAGUUCAGUGUUUUUUUUUGGUGUUUUUUUUUUGUUUAUUUAUUUAAACCUAAAAAUAAUCGAAUAAAAAGCACGUCUUGGACUUUUUUGGUCUAAGGGGCUGCCGAUAGUCUUAUAAACUCUAGUAUUUUUUAAAUGUCUGAAUUAGCAUAUUAUUUUUAAUAAAUAAUAACAACUUUUGACAACGGAUCUCUUGGCUCUC